CAAAGCUGAAACUUAAAGGAAUUGACGGAAGGGCACCACCAGGAGUGGAGCCUGCGGCUUAAUUUGACUCAACACGGGAAAACUUACCUGGCCCGGACACUGGAAGGAUUGACAGAUUAAGAGCUCUUUCUUGAUUCAGUGGGUGGUGGUGCAUGGCCGUUCUUAGUUGGUGGAGCGAUUUGUCUGGUUAAUUCCGAUAACGAACGAGACUCUAGCCUACUAAAUAGGGGACCGAUCAAUUGUUGUCGGUCCGUCUUCUUAGAGGGACAAGCGGCUUUUAGCCGCACGAGACAGAGCAAUAACAGGUCUGUGAUGCCCUUAGAUGUCCGGGGCCGCACGCGCGCUACACUGAAGGAAGCAGCGUGCUCAUCGCUGUCCGGCAGGACUGCGUAACCCCUAUAACCUCCUUCGUGAUAGGGAUAGGGGCUUGUAAUUGUUCCCCUUGAACGAGGAAUUCCCAGUAAGCGCGAGUCAUAAGCUCGUGUUGAUUACGUCCCUGCCCUUUGUACACACCGCCCGUCGCUACUACCGAUUGAAUGAUUUAGUGAGGUCUUCGGACUGGCGCUCGGAGCGACCUUCGGGUUGCGCCGGCGUGCCGGAAAGAUGACCAAACUUGAUCAUUUAGAGGAAGUAAAAGUCGUAACAAGGUUUCC
RNAcentral lists this ribosomal RNA (653 nucleotides) under Draculoides bythius. RNAcentral describes it as "SSU rRNA". It matches the Rfam family "Eukaryotic small subunit ribosomal RNA", at positions 1132 to 1804 of the family's 1831-position model. Lineage: Eukaryota; Metazoa; Arthropoda; Arachnida; Schizomida; Hubbardiidae. The record is from RNAcentral.